Molecule: ribosomal RNA, 730 nt
Filed under: Salmonella enterica subsp. enterica serovar Muenchen
Lineage: Bacteria; Pseudomonadati; Pseudomonadota; Gammaproteobacteria; Enterobacterales; Enterobacteriaceae
Also listed under: 2 other names
Description: partial 23S ribosomal RNA
Rfam family: Bacterial large subunit ribosomal RNA
Source: RNAcentral
CGGCAAGACGGAAAGACCCCGUGAACCUUUACUAUAGCUUGACACUGAACAUUGAGCCUUGAUGUGUAGGAUAGGUGGGAGGCUUUGAAGCGUGGACGCCAGUCUGCGUGGAGCCGACCUUGAAAUACCACCCUUUAAUGUUUGAUGUUCUAACGUGGACCCGUAAUCCGGGUUGCGGACAGUGUCUGGUGGGUAGUUUGACUGGGGCGGUCUCCUCCUAAAGAGUAACGGAGGAGCACGAAGGUUGGCUAAUCCUGGUCGGACAUCAGGAGGUUAGUGCAAUGGCAUAAGCCAGCUUGACUGCGAGCGUGACGGCGCGAGCAGGUGCGAAAGCAGGUCAUAGUGAUCCGGUGGUUCUGAAUGGAAGGGCCAUCGCUCAACGGAUAAAAGGUACUCCGGGGAUAACAGGCUGAUACCGCCCAAGAGUUCAUAUCGACGGCGGUGUUUGGCACCUCGAUGUCGGCUCAUCACAUCCUGGGGCUGAAGUAGGUCCCAAGGGUAUGGCUGUUCGCCAUUUAAAGUGGUACGCGAGCUGGGUUUAGAACGUCGUGAGACAGUUCGGUCCCUAUCUGCCGUGGGCGCUGGAGAACUGAGGGGGGCUGCUCCUAGUACGAGAGGACCGGAGUGGACGCAUCACUGGUGUUCGGGUUGUCAUGCCAAUGGCACUGCCCGGUAGCUAAAUGCGGAAGAGAUAAGUGCUGAAAGCAUCUAAGCACGAAACUUGCCCCGA